ACGCUGGCGGCACGCUUAACACAUGCAAGUCGAACGAAAUCUUCGGAUUUAGUGGCAGACGGGUGAGUAACGCGUGGGAACCUGCCCAGUAGUAGAGAAUAACUUGGGGAAACUUAAGCUAAUACUUUAUACGUCCUUUGGGAGAAAGCUUUAUGCGCUAUUGGAUGGGCCCGCGUUAGAUUAGUUUGUUGGUGAGGUAAUGGCUCACCAAGGCGACGAUCUAUAGCUGGUCUGAGAGGAUGAUCAGCCACACUGGGACUGAGACACGGCCCAGACUCCUACGGGAGGCAGCAGUGGGGAAUAUUGGACAAUGGGGGCAACCCUGAUCCAGCGAUGCCGCGUGAGUGAUGAAGGCCCUAGGGUUGUAAAACUCUUUCGUCAGGGAAGAUAAUGACGGUACCUGAAGAAGAAGAUCCGGCUAACUCCGUGCCAGCAGCCGCGGUAAUACGGAGGGGUCUAGCGUUAUUCGGAAUUACUGGGCGUAAAGCGAGCGUAGGCGGAUUUGUAAGUUGGAGGUGAAAUCCCAGAGCUUAACUCUGGAACUGCCUUCAAAACUACAUUUCUUGAGUUUGGUAGAGGAGAGUGGAAUUCCUAGUGUAGAGGUGAAAUUCGUAGAUAUUAGGAGGAACACCAGUGGCGAAGGCGACUCUCUGGGCCAAUACUGACGCUGAGGUUCGAAAGCAUGGGUAGCGAACAGGAUUAGAUACCCUGGUAGUCCAUGCAGUAAACGAUGAGUGCUAGAUGUUGGGAAUUUAGAUUUCCAGUAUCGCAGUUAACGCGUUAAGCACUCCGCCU
This 795-nucleotide ribosomal RNA is filed under the name uncultured Alphaproteobacteria bacterium. Its description in RNAcentral is "bacterial SSU rRNA". It matches the Rfam family "Bacterial small subunit ribosomal RNA", at positions 33 to 874 of the family's 1533-position model. Lineage: Bacteria; Pseudomonadati; Pseudomonadota; Alphaproteobacteria. The record is from RNAcentral.